Molecule: long non-coding RNA, 679 nt
Filed under: Homo sapiens (human)
Lineage: Eukaryota; Metazoa; Chordata; Mammalia; Primates; Hominidae
Description: HSALNT0269634
Source: RNAcentral
GUGGACUCAGGGCCUGCCCAUAACUUAUAUCAGCCCAGAGCUGCAGGCCCGAACUUGCUGGUCUCCAGGGGUCCGGCCUCCCUCUCUGGACCGCAGAUAAAGAAACUGAGGCUCAGAGAGGCGAUGCAACUUACCUGAGACUCAGCAACGACAGAAUUUGCACCCAGAUCUCUAAGACUCCAAGGAGAAGAAGCACAGUAUAAUAAUAUAUGGCCCAGGUACUGCGGGGUCUCCACGGAAGAGAAAGGACAAUAUGGAAAAUCUUCAUUCAAUACUUAAUUUCUCAGUGCCCACAUUCCAAAGCAGGCACAGAAUGAGCUGGACAGACCUCAGCCUGCACCUCCACCCUGCUUCUUCCAGAAAAUCACAGAAAUAAUAUUUCUUGGUAAUAAAAUAAAGGCAGACCCUGCCACUUUUCCUUCCUGCCUGUGCAGGCAGAUGCGCUGUGUGGCGGAUCUCAGUGUCAGAAAGACGGCUGGAGGGGAGAAGUGUGGCCGCCCUCAGUCAAUUAAUGGCGGUAAUUACACACUGCAAACAGUCUGGGGUAUAAUUAAGACUGGAGGCCCAGGGCUGGGUGUGCACCCCAUUGAGAUGAGCACCAUCAAACAAUGGGGGUUGGAGACUCAGCUCUCUCCAGGAGACAUCAACAUGUCUGGUCCAGCCCUUGGGGCAGGCUGCA